Molecule: ribosomal RNA, 253 nt
Filed under: uncultured bacterium
Lineage: Bacteria
Description: partial 16S ribosomal RNA
Rfam family: Bacterial small subunit ribosomal RNA
Source: RNAcentral
UACGAAGGGGGCUAGCGUUGCUCGGAAUUACUGGGCGUAAAGGGCGCGUAGGCGGAUACUUAAGUUGGGGGUGAAAGCCCGGGGCUCAACCUCGGAAUUGCCUUCAAUACUGGGUAUCUUGGGUACGGGAGAGGUGAGUGGAACUCCGAGUGUAGAGGUGAAAUUCGUAGAUAUUCGGAAGAACACCAGUGGCGAAGGCGACUCACUGGCCCGUUACUGACGCUGAGGCGCGAAAGCGUGGGGAGCAAACAGG